RNAcentral lists this long non-coding RNA (2306 nucleotides) under Coturnix japonica (Japanese quail). RNAcentral's name for it is "lncRNA (ENSCJPG00005001793.1)". The record is from RNAcentral. Lineage: Eukaryota; Metazoa; Chordata; Aves; Galliformes; Phasianidae.
AGGGCAAAUAAUGUCUGAGCAACGUCAGUGCAUCCUGUACACUGCUUAGGAGACAGUGAAAAAAUCAAGGAUGGUGAAUGUUAUAUGCCUAGAUUUUGGCAUGACCACAUUCACUGCCUGUUGUAUAGUCCCCUCACAAUCAAAUAGGUGAGUUAUGCAUAAUAACGUAUGUGGAAAAGUAAAUAAUCUGCUGGGCUCUAACUGUUGUGACUGCUACUCAGAGUACAGCUGGGUACGGGAAUCUAUAAAGGGGUUCCUGAGGGAUGAGCGCUGGACCAGUAGUUUUUGAUUUUCCAUUAAUGCUCUAUGUGACUGGAUGAAGUGCCUUAUAAGCAUAUAAACACAAAUAUAUAUAUAUAUAUGGUAUAUAGGAGUAUUCACUUGCGGAACAGAGGUCAAAAAGCAGAAGUCAAAGCCUGUUGCUGCACAUUCCCAGCCGCCCGUCCCGGUGACGCUGCCGGCCUUUCUGGGGCUCCUCGAGCAGCAACAUCAGCACCACGGGCAGCAGCAGACUGCGGAACCCGGAGUACGCGACCAGUUCCAGCAGCUCCUUGGGCACAGACGGGCGACAAAGGCUCAGAAGCCUCGCACUGGCCAAGCCGUCCCAUGCCUCUGUCUGUGCUCUCCGCUGCCCUUCUUGCUGGGGACGCUGUAGGCGGGUAGCUGCUUUCUCCUGUACCGAAGGAGCUUUCGCAGCCUUUCCUCAGCUCUCCGCCUAAACCGCAGUGCCCGGCCUACUCUGCAGCGCAUGCAGAGCCCAAACCGCUCUACCCGUAGGAUCCCAACACUCGCAGCUCGGUGCAACCGAGAGUGACGCCGGCGCAGGGCGCAGCCCCAGGGCGGAGCUGGCGGCGGCGGAGGGGAAGAAGCGCCGAGUGCCGAGCUGAGCAGGGACUGGCAGUGCAGCGCGGAGCGGGCGGCGGAGCGGCGGGAUGCGGCAGUGCCGGGCCGCGGGGCUGGCCGCAGUGCUCCUGGCAUUCGCUGCGUGCAGAGCCCUGGUGCAGCAGGAGCCUUCGGUAGAGACCAGAGAGGGCACCGGCAUCAACAUCACCUGCUCACACCCCACCGUACAAGCCGUCCACUGGUAUCGACAGCUCCCGGGCCGAGGCCCCGCAAUCCUCGUCAGCGCUGUUACAGGCUCCAAGGAGGUUCCGGACCCGAUGGGGCGGCUGUCGGUGUCGGCAGACCGCCGCUCCAGCGCCCUGUGGCUCACCCGACCACGGCUCGGGGACGUGGCGGUGUAUUACUGCGCCGUGGACCCACGGGAAGCUAAGCUGGGGCUGCGGCCGGGCACGAACCGCAUUGGGCGUGGCGGGGGCACAGUGCCGUCCAUGCCCGCAGGGGGCGAUGCAGCACCUCCGGCUGGAGCCUCCCGAGCUGACAUUGCUGACAUGGAACAUGUCCCCCGCACUGCUCAGCGUUCUCAGGUGUAAGGACUUCCAGCUUCGCACCUUCAUGAAUACGGCAUGUCGAGGUCGCAGACACACUCAAGCGGUCCCCACAGUGGCUAUUCUUUAAAACCACCAGAUGGUGCGACAGGAUUCAGGGCCUCUGCAGGUGAGGUGUAGAUUCAGUAGAAGCCACUGCAAGGUGCGCUGGUUGUGAGGUCUACUGGUUCAUGCUGGCUGUGGAUCAAGUCUCUUCUCAGUUCCAAGGGAAGUACAAUUAAAAGGGACAGUGAUAAUGCAUAGAGUAACCCCAAAAUAUAAGCAUAAGGGAGACAAGGAGGGAGACCAGUACUCCUCAGCACCUAACUGUUGCCGUUAGGGAGCCACUGCUGUUAGAUAAGAGGUGAGGGACUGAGCUUUGUGAGUGACAAGUGACAAGAUGAAAAGAAAGAUGAGGAAUGCUCUUGAGGGACUUGUGGGGCUAUUCAAACAUAUUAAGGAAUGUUUAGGGAAAUGUCAAAGGUGUCACAAAAAUGAUUUGAGGUAGGAAAAACUGGAUGCAUUGCAGAGGAAGGAGGACAAAAAUUUCCAAUCAGUACUCCUUCAGGGAUAAGCUCUGUGCCUGACGACCACAGCACAUUCUGUCUUCUUCUUCAUUCCUGGCCUACAAGUUCAGAUCUCCUUCCAGAACCACCUUGCCCAGGCCUCAAUACUUUUCUGCAGGAAAAAGGACAGCGAGCCCUCUCUCAAUCUGUUUUGUGUCCACUCAGUGUUGGCAGCCCAGAGCCUUCCCUGCAGAGCUGCUCACCUUUGCUUUCUUCUUCCAGAUGCCGUGGGACAGACCACUGUCACCCAGCAAGAAAGACAGGUCACAGUGGAGAAGAGAAAUACCUUCCAGACCACCUGCACAUACCAGAC